This 403-nucleotide ribosomal RNA is filed under the name uncultured bacterium. Its description in RNAcentral is "partial 16S ribosomal RNA". It matches the Rfam family "Bacterial small subunit ribosomal RNA", at positions 28 to 526 of the family's 1533-position model. The record is from RNAcentral.
GACGAACGCUGGCGGCGUGCCUAAUACAUGCAAGUCGAACGCAGUGGGGACGGGUGAGUAACACGUGGGUAACCUCCCAUCAGAGGGGAUAACACUUGGAAAAAGGUGCUAAACCGAUACUGAUGGAUGGACCCGCGGUGCAUUAGCUAGUUGGUGAGGUAACGGCUCACCAAGGCUACGAUGCAUAGGUGAUCUGAGAGGAUGACCGGCCACACUGGGACUGAGACACGGCCCAGACUCCUACGGUAGGCAGCAGUGGGGAAUCUUCGGCAAUGGACGAAAGUCUGACCCAGCAACCCCGCGUGAGUGAAGAAGGUUUUCGGUGUGUAAAGUUCUUUUGUCAGAGAAGCGGUACCUAACCAGAAAGCCACGGCUAACUACGUGCCAGCCGCCGCGGUAAUAC